AGACUGGCCUCUGGAACUCCCAAAGUUAUAAAAAUAGCUGGAUUCCUUUUUCUGCAAAAGAGCCUCAAGUCUCUCUGACUCCUCUCCGUUUGGAAGAUUAAUAACGGUGAUAAUUCUGGAAGACUCCUUUACCACACAGCGGUGCGUACCUCCGCAGAGGGCUGGCCACCAGCUCACCAAGUAACACUAGAAGAUCGCCACAAGGGAUUUUAUAUGUGUAAGAGAGAGAGCGGGUGGGCAUCCUCUUUUGACAUAAAAGAUGAUGGAGAAGGUCUUUUUUAAAACAUGCAUUCAGUCAAAUCCAUGAAUUUAGCUAAUCCUUCUUUCCCUAAGUGUGCAAUUAGGGAAAACCUAAUGACUACUUUACAAGUUAUAGUUUUGGCUUCUUUUGCUAUUUAUUAAAAACAC
Molecule: long non-coding RNA, 408 nt
Filed under: Homo sapiens (human)
Lineage: Eukaryota; Metazoa; Chordata; Mammalia; Primates; Hominidae
Description: HSALNT0217942
Source: RNAcentral